This 253-nucleotide ribosomal RNA is filed under the name uncultured bacterium. RNAcentral's name for it is "partial 16S ribosomal RNA". It matches the Rfam family "Bacterial small subunit ribosomal RNA", at positions 524 to 776 of the family's 1533-position model. The record is from RNAcentral.
UACGUAGGUGGCGAGCGUUGUCCGGAUUUAUUGGGUUUAAAGGGUGCGUAGGCGGCCCUAUAAGUCAGUGCUGAAAUAUCCCGGCUUAACCGGGAGGGUGGCAUUGAUACUGUAGGGCUUGAGUAAAGUUGAGGUUGGCGGAAUUGACGGUGUAGCGGUGAAAUGCUUAGAUAUCGUCAAGAACACCUAUUGCGAAGGCAGCUAACCAAGCUUUAACUGACGCUGAGGCACGAAAGUGUGGGGAUCAAACAGG